GAUGAAGAACGCAGCGAAAUGCGAUAAGUAAUGUGAAUUGCAGAAUUCAGUGAAUCAUCGAAUCUUUGAACGCAUCUUGCGCUCCUUGGUAUUCUGAGGAGCAUGCCUGUUUGAGUGUCAUUAAAUUCUCAACUACACUGACUUUGAAUUGGUGUGGCUUGGAUUUGGGGGGAAAAUUGUUGUGGGCUUUUUGUAUAGUCUGCUCCCCUGAAAUUGAUUAGCGGUACCUUUGUGGAACUGUCUACAGGUGUGAUAAUUAUCUACAUCUUAGACAUCUGCUGGAAUGCUGCUUUCUAAACCUUACUUGUAUUGACAAUCUUGACCUCAAAUCAGGUGGGACUACCCGCUGAACUUAAGCAUAUCAAUAAGCGGAGGA
Molecule: unclassified non-coding RNA, 376 nt
Filed under: soil metagenome
Description: partial contains 5.8S ribosomal RNA, internal transcribed spacer 2, and large subunit ribosomal RNA
Rfam family: 5.8S ribosomal RNA (bases 1-120)
Source: RNAcentral